This 402-nucleotide ribosomal RNA is filed under the name uncultured bacterium. RNAcentral describes it as "bacterial SSU rRNA". It matches the Rfam family "Bacterial small subunit ribosomal RNA", at positions 355 to 774 of the family's 1533-position model. The record is from RNAcentral.
UGGGGAAUCUUGCACAAUGGGGGCAACCCUGAUGCAGCGACGCCGCGUGAGCGAUGAAGCCCUUCGGGGCGUAAAGCUCUUUCGACCGGAACGAUAAUGACGGUACCGGGAGAAGAAGCUGCGGCUAACUACGUGCCAGCAGCCGCGGUAAUACGUAGGCAGCAAGCGUUGUUCGGAGUUACUGGGCGUAAAGAGUGCGUAGGCGGUUUUCUAAGUUCGGUGUGAAAUCUCCCGGCUUAACUGGGAGGGUGCGCCGAAGACUGGGAAGCUGGAGUGUGGGAAAGGCCGUCGGAAUUCCUGGUGUAGCGGUUAAAUGCGUAGAUAUCAGGAGGAACGCCGGCGGUGUAGACGGCUUGCUAGACCAUAACUGCCGCUGAGGCACGAAAGCGUGGGUAGCAAACA